RNAcentral lists this ribosomal RNA (481 nucleotides) under uncultured bacterium. RNAcentral's name for it is "partial 16S ribosomal RNA". It matches the Rfam family "Bacterial small subunit ribosomal RNA", at positions 28 to 523 of the family's 1533-position model. The record is from RNAcentral.
GACGAACGCUGGCGGCGUGCUUAACACAUGCAAGUCGAGCGAUGAAGCACCUUCGGGUGUGGAUUAGCGGCGAACGGGUGCGGAACACGUGAGGAAUCUGCCUUUCACUUCGGGAUAACUCCGGGAAACGGGGGCUCAUACCGGAUAUUUUCAACUGGCGGCAUCGCCGGUUGAAGAAAGUUUUUCGGUGAAAUAUGACCUCGCGGCCUAUCAGAUUGUUGGGGAGGUAAUGGCUCAACAAGGCGACGACGGGUAGUCGGCCUGGGAGGCGCGACCGGCCACACUGGGACUCAGACACGGCCCAGACUCCUACGGGAGGCAGCAGUGGGGAAUAUUGGGCAAUUGAGGAAACUCUGACCCAGCGACGCCGCGUGAGGGAUGAAGGCCUUCGGGUUGUAAACCUCUUUCAGCAGGGAAUAAGCGAAAGUGAAGGUACCUGCAGAAGAAGCACCGGCUAACUAUGUGCCAGCAGCCGCAGUAA